GGGGUUGUGGCUCAGUGGUAGAGCAUUUGCCUUGCAUGUGAGAGGCACUGGGUUCAAUCCUCAGCACCA
Molecule: transfer RNA, 69 nt
Filed under: Ictidomys tridecemlineatus (thirteen-lined ground squirrel)
Lineage: Eukaryota; Metazoa; Chordata; Mammalia; Rodentia; Sciuridae
Description: Spermophilus tridecemlineatus (thirteen-lined ground squirrel) tRNA
Rfam family: tRNA
About the family: Transfer RNA (tRNA) molecules are approximately 80 nucleotides in length.
Source: Rfam by way of RNAcentral